AUUGAACGCUGGCGGCAGGCUUAACACAUGCAAGUCGAGCGGAUGAAGGGUGCUUGCGCCUGGUGUCAGCGGCGGACGGGUGAGUAAUGCCUAGGAAUCUGCCUGGUUGUGGGGUAUAACGUCCGGAAACGGGCGCUAAUACCGCCUACGUCCUGAGGGAGAUAGAGGGUGAUCUUCGGACCUCUCGCUCUCUGAUGAGUCUAGGUCGGAUUGGCUAGUUGGUGGGGUAAAGGCCUACCUGGGGGACGAUCCGUAACUGGUCUGCGAGAAUGAUCAGUCACACUGGAACGGAAACACGGUCCAGGCGACUACGAGACGCAGCAGAGGGGAACAGUGGACAAUAGGCGAGAGUCUGAUCCAGACAGGCCACGUGUGAGGAGAAAAUGCUCGGAUUGGGAAGCACUUUAAGUUGGGAGAAAGGGCAGUAAGCUGAGACCUUGCUGUUUUGACGGUACCGGGAGAAGAAGCACCGGCUAACUUCGUG
Molecule: ribosomal RNA, 484 nt
Filed under: uncultured bacterium
Lineage: Bacteria
Description: partial 16S ribosomal RNA
Rfam family: Bacterial small subunit ribosomal RNA
Source: RNAcentral